This is a non-coding RNA of Camelina sativa (false flax), 1385 nucleotides long. The record is from RefSeq and is a predicted model, not a curated record. NCBI's taxonomy places the organism in Eukaryota, Viridiplantae, Streptophyta, Magnoliopsida, Brassicales, Brassicaceae.
GACAUAUGUAAUAAAGAGAUACGUAAGUUGGAGAAAGCUACAGUUUGUCUCACCAGAGUCUACAAGGUUUGUUAUAUUUCUCAUUUCGGUUGAUGGAGUCUCCAUAUGCGAUAUGUUGCAUGUCUCCUCUAGUUCCUUUUGCUUCUUGAAGAAAAGUUCUUUGGUUCUGCUUGCUUUGAGUUGAUCUAGUCUCUGGACUUCAGCCUCAGACUUGGGAAAAAAAAUUCACGAAAGAAAAGUCAGUCAACAUCAUCUAUCACUGGAGCACACACAUCUGAUGGAGCGAAUGACAAUAAAUCAAUGACGUGAGAAAACUUUUGACGAUCUUCAUAAGAUGCAUCCAUUAGAUUCCACAGGUUGGAUAAAGCUCUACCAAGAUGGUGAAGCUGCCAUUUGUAAAAGUUCGGAACUGCUUCACUCUCUCGUCUUUCCUUAGCCUCAUCUCACGCAGUGCAGGCGCGAUAGAAUCCAGCUGCUCUCUCAAUGUUCCUCCCUUUUUCUCCGGCUGUGUAGAGAAUAUAACAACAAAGUUAUCUGUGAUAUGUUAUCUGCAAAUGUACUGAUCUUUCACCGAGGCACAAAAGAAAGUGAGUGAGUUCGGCUUCAGAUUCUGCCAGCUCUUGAUGUAGACGAGACCUCGAAACAUUGGCCUGGUCAACUUUUCUCCGGUUUUGCUUUGAAGACAAGUGUGAAAGUGACACAUACUCUUCUACAGAAGCUUCCAGUUUAAGUGAAGGCUCAUCCGCAUCUCCCUCCUCUUUUGAUUCUUCAGUUUUAGGUCUCUUUCUCUUUCUCUCACUCAACUUCAUCUGAAUUUGGUAAAGUUUAGGAGUCGCUUUUGUGCUGAUGCGUUUGCUUCUGCUGUAUGAAAAGCCAGAGGGAGAUGUUUUUUUUUUUUAUAUAUACCAUACAAAACUUGAUUCCUAAGCAAAACCUCUAGUGCUAACUUUUUACUUAUCAAGAUCGACUGAGUGAUUCUUCACCAUGUGCUUCUUACAAAGUAAGCUUCUUCUUGUUCUUACAAAGUAAGAUAUAGAGAUGCUCUCAUUCUCAUAUGAUUAAUUUGAUUUCUUCAAGUAACUUGCCUUUUUCAUAUUAACAUAAGUGAUAAGUAUUCUGAUUUUCUUUCGCAGUGUGACUACCAAAUCUUGAAAAUGUAAAAGUUUGAAGAAUAUUUGGGGCUACACUAAGAAAAAGAACUUCGAAGCUCUUUUAUAUUGUUGUAUCAAACUAGUGAAAAUUUAUUUAUGAAGACUCCUUGUGACCAUAUUGACCAAUAAGUUUUUUUUUUUUGUUUUGUUUUGAGUAAGAUGGAUGUCUUUAAAUACCAGAUCAACCUGUCCUUGCAUAGCAUACUAAGCUGCCCUUGCGUAUUUCUGUUUGUG